This 500-nucleotide ribosomal RNA is filed under the name uncultured bacterium. RNAcentral's name for it is "partial 16S ribosomal RNA". It matches the Rfam family "Bacterial small subunit ribosomal RNA", at positions 30 to 523 of the family's 1533-position model. The record is from RNAcentral.
AUUGAACGCUGGCGGCAUGCCUUACACAUGCAAGUCGAACGGCAGCACGGGAGCAAUCCUGGUAGCGAGUGGCGAACGGGUGAGUAAAGUAUCGGAACGUGCCCAGUCGUGGGGGAUAACGUAGCGGAAGUUACGCUAAUACCGCAUACGACCUAUGGAUGAAAGCGGGGGAUCGCAAGACCUCGCGCGAUUGGAGCGGCCGAUAUCAGAUUAGGUAGUUGGUGGGGUAAAGGCUCACCAAGCCGACGAUCUGUAGCUGGUCUGAGAGGACGACCAGCCACACUGGGACUGAGACACGGCCCAGACUCCUACGGGAGGCAGCAGUGGGGAAUUUUGGACAAUGGGCGAAAGCCUGAUCCAGCCAUGCCGCGUGCAGGAUGAAGGCCUUCGGGUUGUAAACUGCUUUUGUACGGAACGAAAAGGUUUGGCCUAAUAAGCUGAGCUCAUGACGGUACCGUAAGAAUAAGCACCGGCUAACUACGUGCCAGCAGCCGCAGUAA